Molecule: long non-coding RNA, 2728 nt
Filed under: Zea mays
Lineage: Eukaryota; Viridiplantae; Streptophyta; Magnoliopsida; Poales; Poaceae
Description: drought responsive lncRNA
Source: RNAcentral
CCUCAUCCGGCCGCCGCUCGUGGAAGAAAAAUCUCCACUGCCUAACUCUCUCUCUCCCUUUGCUAUUUCUUCACCGCAGGGGCCAUCGGCCUUAUCUCCUGGCCACGGCGCUCAUCUUCCCAGCAGUGGAGCUCCCAUGCGCGCUCCUCCUUCUUCAUGGUCGCGUGCCCAGUCUCGAUGUUGGUCCCUACGUGAUGUCUCCGAGUUGGAAUCGCACUGACAAAAGAAUCCCCAAGAGAAGAUGUCCAAAAGUUGGAUGGUGGGGUGCGUGAAGUUCGGAUAGUAUCUGCCAAGCGCUCGACAAAUUGCCUAAAUCGGAAAAUCAUUACUGAUCUCGCGGAUUCGAGUCAGCUAUUGUAACGGUGAGCCGAUUUACUAUUUUUGCUAUUGAUUUUAUGAUUGUGAAAUAAGACGCUUAGUUUGCGUAUUAAGUUUAAGUUAGAAAUACCAGUAAUGCGAGGUGUGCUUCGAGGAGUUUAGUUGCCGAGUAUAUUCGAACUAGUUCUAUUUUACAGAGUGUAGUAUUUCGGUGACGCGUAGGUUAAAUUUAGUAUUUUAUGCAAUUAUCGAUAGAUUUGUCGAUGCUAAUUGUGUUCAGUGCGCGUAAGAUGAAGUCGAUGUCCUGCGCUAGUAGUUAGUAGCAUCUAUGUUUGUAAUCGAUAAUGUUGGAGUAGGAUAUGAUCAACGAUUUUCUUAUCUAGUGAUUGGUGUGAUGGUAUAUUGUAUAAAAUAUGCUUGGUAAAAAUGUAUGUAGUAAUAUGAUUCUGUUAAUAAAUCGUAAAAGAAAGUAGAGCGUGAAUAUAUAUAUAUAUAUAUAUAUAUAUAUAGUUUUGUGAUAUAUGAAAUACCUUUGAAUAGGCUAGAAAAGCAUAAUUAUUAUAAUUAGUCAUAUAUCACUAGUUAGUAUCUGCUUAAUGCUUUGUUAUAAGUGUUUCGUCAUCUUCAACGUAGAUUAAUUGUUUUAUAAUAUUCCUCUAUAUAUUCAUACAUGUGCAUUGUGCAUCCCAUGAGGUACGAUAAUUAAUCGCGUGAUGCGGAAGACGAGCCAAGUCGACCCCAAGCGCGGGCUACUACGCAUGGUAAUGCUGAUGGAAGAACCUCCCUCAUCAAGUGCUAGGACAAGGAUACUCGUCAAGUGGUCAUCGUCUAACAACACUAACCUAGUGUUAUCCAGGCAAGCCCCGGUGCAUGCGACCCCUUCCUUGUGUUUUUAAAUAAUUUUUACACACUUUAAGUCUAGCGAAAUAUGCAUUAGGUUUAUAGGAGUUGCUUGGAAACCUUUUGAUGCAUUGCCUACCUUGAAAUCCAUCCCUUUAUAGAUACUUCUGAUGAAGUAUCAAAAUAUGAUUUACAAAAAUGCUUAGCCUUGCCUAGAGGUAAAUCUUGUGGAUAGAGGUUGUCCUUUGCGUUAAUGCCUAGCUUCUGCCUGCAAGAAUAUUUUCAUUGGGAGCAGUGGUGGGAUCUUACUACAAAGUUCCCUAUAAUACUCUUUUCAUCCUAAGGAACAAAAACAAUCCUAAGGGUGGAAGUACUUAAAUCGAGACUUGGGCUAGGAACAAGUGAUGUUCUACCCAGGUUGAUUAAGGAUUAUAGAGAAUGUAGGCCUGCUGACCGAGGACCUUUUAACUGGUCACAUGCCUCAUCAUGGGUAAGCUUUGCCUCGGGCAGACUAAUACCAGAAUAAGAUAACACGCAAUGGGAGUGGAGAGAUGGUGAGAGUAGCGUGUACCCUCCGUGGCAAGAGGCUGGACGGUGGUGUAUCUGUGCUCUCGGUGGGCAUGAACCAGAUCUGGUCUUAAGAACCCCGGUGGCGAGUUGACAUAUGCAAGGGUUAAGUGCUACAUAUGUCAUGUGAUUGGAGAUCCCCAGCUAGGUAUUAAUCGAUUUAGGAUCACCGUUACUUCUCGGAUAUGAAGACUUGGUCACUGACUUGCAAUUUAAGUCAUGGAUGGAAUCAUAAUGAGCAAAAAUCAUGUUGUAUUGAUUGAAGUUAUGAUGAAAUUAGACUAGAUGCAAACGAGGUCUAUUAAUACUUAAUCUAGCAUUAAAAUGUUGAAAGUAAGGACUCAUUUUAGUAAGCUUUCUGCAAACUAUUAAUGUUGAUUCUUGCUAAAAGCCUUUCCUUGACUCUCAAAUCCAGCAUAUCCUUGAGAGUCUUUUCUUUAGUCGGGUAAGUCUUGUUGAGUACUUGCGUACUUAGGGUUUUACCCAUUGUUGUUGCAGGUUACGAGUCACUUGAUUGUGAUUGGUGUUAAGCGCUGGUGGGCACGGCCUUCUUAUAAGUCUAAGUAACUCUUCUAAACUUCUUAUUGAGGAUGGUCACUUAAGCUAGCAUAUAUUUCAAACUUAUAAACAAUUUAUAACAAUUCAAAGUAAUUUCUUUGAAUCACUUUUGUAAUCACUCCGAUCAUGUACAUAAAACUUGAUGUAACAUGUAAAAUUUGGUAAUAAGAUUUCCGCUGCAAAAUUUGUUGGUGUGUGAUUUGUGUUUACUUAAUCCCGCGGUUCUGGUUGUAAGUGGUUUAUCCGAGGUCCUUGGGGCACUUGGACAGAUCCUGUUAAGUUACCUAGUGCACAUGCAUAGCCGUCUGAGGUCUUUGAGACAAGGACAGGUGCAUGUGGGCCCAAUAACUUGGGAGGUUCUGCCACAUCUGGUAGAGGCAGUUACUAUAAUUUCAACUUAAAAUCUUUCUCCUUUAGAGCCAGUGAGUUCUACAAUACCCCUAGC